AAAUUGAAGAGUUUGAUCAUGGCUCAGAUUGAACGCUGGCGGCAGGCCUAACACAUGCAAGUCGAGCGGUAGCACAGAGAGCUUGCUCUCGGGUGACGAGCGGCGGACGGGUGAGUAAUGUCUGGGAAACUGCCUGAUGGAGGGGGAUAACUACUGGAAACGGUAGCUAAUACCGCAUAAUGUCGCAAGACCAAAGUGGGGGACCUUCGGGCCUCAUGCCAUCAGAUGUGCCCAGAUGGGAUUAGCUAGUAGGUGGGGUAACGGCUCACCUAGGCGACGAUCCCUAGCUGGUCUGAGAGGAUGACCAGCCACACUGGAACUGAGACACGGUCCAGACUCCUACGGGAGGCAGCAGUGGGGAAUAUUGCACAAUGGGCGCAAGCCUGAUGCAGCCAUGCCGCGUGUGUGAAGAAGGCCUUCGGGUUGUAAAGCA
RNAcentral lists this ribosomal RNA (433 nucleotides) under Klebsiella pneumoniae. Its description in RNAcentral is "bacterial SSU rRNA". It matches the Rfam family "Bacterial small subunit ribosomal RNA", at positions 1 to 432 of the family's 1533-position model. RNAcentral also lists the same sequence under 4 other names. The record is from RNAcentral. Lineage: Bacteria; Pseudomonadati; Pseudomonadota; Gammaproteobacteria; Enterobacterales; Enterobacteriaceae.